RNAcentral lists this ribosomal RNA (253 nucleotides) under uncultured bacterium. RNAcentral's name for it is "partial 16S ribosomal RNA". It matches the Rfam family "Bacterial small subunit ribosomal RNA", at positions 524 to 776 of the family's 1533-position model. The record is from RNAcentral.
UACGUAGGGUACAAGCGUUGUCCGGAAUUAUUGGGCGUAAAGAGCUCGUAGGCGGUCUGUCACGUCGGCUGUGAAAUCCCGAGGCUCAACCUCGGGUCUGCAGUCGAUACGGGCAAACUAGAGUAUUGCAGGGGAGACUGGAAUUCCUGGUGUAGCGGUGAAAUGCGCAGAUAUCAGGAGGAACACCGGUGGCGAAGGCGGGUCUCUGGGCAAUAACUGACGCUGAGGAGCGAAAGCGUGGGGAGCGAACAGG